GAAAGUUGGUAAGGGGAACAUGUGGCAUUGAUUAUGAUGGUGGCAUGACAAAACUUAUAAGGGUUAGAGAAAGAGUUAAUCACAAUCAAUUGAUAGAGAAAAUAUCAACUGCAAUGAAGAUAGGAUUGAAUCAAAAAGUGUCUAAGGUCAUAUACAGAUAUCCUGUUACAACACAAGGUUUCCGAAUUUUGUACAGCUUGACAUUGAAGAUGAUGAUAGAGUUGAGUUUAUGUUUGAAAUAUUUGAUAAGAUUCCCGGAUUUCUUUGUAUUCAACUGUAUGU
RNAcentral lists this unclassified non-coding RNA (282 nucleotides) under Hevea brasiliensis (rubber tree). Lineage: Eukaryota; Viridiplantae; Streptophyta; Magnoliopsida; Malpighiales; Euphorbiaceae. The record is from RNAcentral.